Molecule: ribosomal RNA, 468 nt
Filed under: uncultured bacterium
Lineage: Bacteria
Description: partial 16S ribosomal RNA
Rfam family: Bacterial small subunit ribosomal RNA
Source: RNAcentral
GACGAACGCUGGCGGCGUGCUUAACACAUGCAAGUCGAACGGAAAGGCCCUGCUUUUGUGGGGUGCUCGAGUGGCGAACGGGUGAGUAACACGUGAGUAACCUGCCCUUGACUUUGGGAUAACUUCAGGAAACUGGGGCUAAUACCGGAUAGGAGCUCCUGCUGCAUGGUGGGGGUUGGAAAGUUUCGGCGGUUGGGGAUGGACUCGCGGCUUACCAGCUUGUUGGUGGGGUAGUGGCUUACCAAGGCUUUGACGGGUAGCCGGCCUGAGAGGGGGACCGGCCACAUUGGGACUGAGAGACGGCCCAGAGUCCUACGGGAGGCAGCAGGGGGGAAUAUUACACAAUGGGCGGAAGCCUGAUGCAGAAACGCCGCGUGCGUGAUGACGGCCUUCGGGUUGUAAACCGCUUUCGCCUGUGACGAAGCGUGAGUGACGGUAAUGGGUAAAGAAGCACCGGCUAACUACGUG